Non-coding RNA from Physcomitrium patens, 1119 nucleotides. The record is from RefSeq and is a predicted model, not a curated record. Lineage: Eukaryota; Viridiplantae; Streptophyta; Bryopsida; Funariales; Funariaceae.
CAUGUGUUUUUCUCAUGUUCUGUAAUUUUUGUUGUGGUAUGUAAGAUGUGAUGCUCCAUGAUCUAGAUGCUGCAAAUGCUCACUCUCAAUGAAGCAACCAAGAGUUUAUGUCCAUAAUGAGCCAGAUGAUGAAACCUCACAAGACUGAAAUUACUGAUAAGCUAAGUCAAGAAAUUAACAAGGUAGUCAAUAGAAACAUUGAUCAAGGUAUGGCAGAGCUUGUUCCAGGUGUUCUCUUCAUGGAUGAGGUGAACCAAUCAUAUUACAGCACACCUACCUAGCUCUUCUAAAUAUAUGGAUCCCACAAUUGCAUAUUGUGAGCAAGUUCAAUUUAAUUCAAUUCCCUGCUGCAUUUUUUUUUAAGAAUGAUGACAGAAUGGUUAUCUUACAAAUGUAUGGUGUGCUGCAGGUGCACAUGCUUGAUAUGGAAUGUUUUACAUAUUUGAGCAGUACCUUAGAAAGUUCCUUGGUACCAUUGUCAUAUCUGCAACAUAAAGUUCUUCCUCUGCUCUAUCCUGCUUCCUUAUAUCUGUCACUCCACUCCAAAAAUCUUAGAAGACUUCUUUCCCUAAUAUGUAAGAUAGAAUUGUUCAGUUACCUCUCCAAUAAUUCUCAUUUUGUUUCUUCCAAUUGGAAUUUGCACAGGAACUGAUAUCAGCAGUCCAAAUGGUAUUCCUGUUGAUGUGUUAGAUCAUCUGGUUAUUAUCAGAACUCUACCCUACACAUCACAGAAAUGGUCCAGAUCUUGACCAUUCUAGCAACUGAAGAAAGCUUAACACCAGCCAGCAUUGUGGCAAAACCCAGUGGUGGCAAUCAGAUUAGCAAGGUUUGUUCAUCUUCCAAAAGUCUUGUGAAUUAGAAGAUGCUUUGUUGCAAGAUACUUCUGUGUAAGCACACUCUAAAUCACAAUACUUGAUGCUCUUCACAUGGCAUUGCUAAGCUCUUAUACAGAGUUGCCAUCAUAUAACCUGCAACGGAUUUUGUACUUUCAUUUCAAUACAACUUAAUUCUUUUGAUGCUAGGGGUCUGAAGGAUAUGGCAGUGCUUUUCCUGGAUGCCAAAGCCUCAACCCAACUUUUACAGGACCAACCUGAUAAAUAUGUUUCAUAGUAGUUUGGA